RNAcentral lists this ribosomal RNA (466 nucleotides) under uncultured bacterium. Its description in RNAcentral is "partial 16S ribosomal RNA". It matches the Rfam family "Bacterial small subunit ribosomal RNA", at positions 28 to 507 of the family's 1533-position model. The record is from RNAcentral.
GAUGAACGCUGGCGGCGUGCUUAACACAUGCAAGUCGAACGAUGAAGCCCAGCUUGAUGGGUGGAUUAGUGGGGAACGGGUGAGUAACACGUGAGUGACCUGCCCUUAACUCUGGGAUAAGCCUGGGAAACUGGGUCUAAUACCGGAUAGGAGCGCCUACCGCAUGGUGGGUGUUGGAAAGAUUUAUCGGUUUUGGAUGGACUCGCGGCCUAUCAGCUUGUUGGUGAGGUAAUGGCUCACCAAGGCGACGACGGGUAGCCGGCCUGAGAGGGUGACCGGCCACACUGGGACUGAGACACGGCCCAGACCCCUACGGGAGGAAGCAGUGGGGAAUAUUGCACAAUGGGCGAAAGCCUGAUGCAGCGACGCCGCGUGAGGGAUGACGGCCUUCGGGUUGUAAACCUCUUUCAGUAGGGAAGAAGCGAAAGUGACGGUACCUGCAGAAGAAGCACCGGCUAACUACGUG